GAAUUCCGAUUCAUUUUAUUUGACCAUCAAUGUGUUGGUGGUUGGCAUGGAGCCAAGUAUCUCUAAAUUGCGGCAUGUAGAUUUGUUUCACUGUCACCUGUCACAUAGAUGCGUGCUUGAUGUUUGUCAUUUUCUGAAUAUUGAUUGGCGUGGAGUUGGUAUAUGUAUGAUUCUGUUGCCCGUAAGCCGAGAUUUACUGUCUCAGUACCGGAUCCCGUACCAGUACCAUUCUAUUACUUUAUCUGAUAUGGUAUGGAUCUGAUUUGGUGUACUUUCAUACCAUAU
This 285-nucleotide long non-coding RNA is filed under the name Phoenix dactylifera (date palm). RNAcentral's name for it is "long non-coding RNA (PDAC_LNC002793)". The record is from RNAcentral. Lineage: Eukaryota; Viridiplantae; Streptophyta; Magnoliopsida; Arecales; Arecaceae.